CACUUAGAAGUUCUGGGGCCCAGGGUGCUGUUUCCAUUGUCAGAUGCUCUUUUGGUUUAGAAUCUGUACAUCAUCUUUUCCAGGGAAAAAUCAUUGAGGGAGUCUUUGGUGGCACUGUAGCUAGAUUGGAGGGCUCUCAAGUCUGCUGCUGGCCUGCCCUGGCGGAGACUCUCAGGGGUUGAUGAUGUUUUGUGGUAUAAUCCUUGAGUGCCCCCUAACAAUUCUCUCCAUUUCUCUGCAGAAAUCAAGGUCCCUGACCACUCACUCAUGUAUCUGUCCAUGAAUCCGCAAAUAAAAUAUCAUUUCAUCAUGAGGAAACACCCCCAGGUCAAGGGAAAGGAGUUCUCAGAAUCAACCUGCAAGUCCUCCAGGCCGCUUUCCCACAAGCAGGUGGGAGACACCUGCUUAAUUCAUGUCCACUUAGCAACACAAAGUCCAAAGAUGGCCAAGACUGUCCUGGUAAGCCUGGGAGCAGGGGUGUCCCCUGGUGCUUACACCUGGGUGGGGAGCAGACACUGGUCCAAUACCAUGGACUACUCAUGCCCUCUUGAAUUUGGAGCUUCUGGAUGAUCAGGUGGAUAGAUGGGAAUUAAGAAGGAAGAGGUCAGUGUGAAGGGCUGGAGCUGAGAUGAGGGAGAGCAGCAGCAAGUCCACCGCCAUGUCUGAGGGAGUCUGUCUGUCAGGGGGCAGCCUGCAGUCCAGAAGGGAAGGGGCAGUGGUGACAGAUGAGAAUAGGACAGGAACUAGGUGGCAGGUUCCCCUGUAUGGGAUGCUAGCAUCCAUGGAGGAGGACAGCAUUAUGAGGUCUGCGUGUUCCUUGAACCAGGAGCUAUGUUCAAGAAUUGGGCUAGUCGCCUAUGGGAAGAGACCACAUGAUGAGAAGGAGGCCAGCCUCAGGUAGUAAGGUCAUGGAUGGUGCCCUGUAUUUAGAGUUGAGGUGCCUCCAGAAUGCCCUGCCCACUGUCCUUGAGUAGUCACUUCAAGGCCCAUUUCCUGAAGGCCUGUCUCCCAUGCUGCUCCAGGUGACCUGCCAUGUUAGGGCUCCUGUUGUCAUCCGCAGGGCCCUCGAGCUACACUUGCUUACUCAGGAGAAGCCAGAGGAAUAUGAGCUGGGCCAAAUCAUCUCUCACUCUCAGAGUAAGUGGGACAAUCAGAUGGCAGGGAGCAAAGCUCAGGAUGUGGACUCAGGUCAAAUCUUAGCACCAAAGAGUAGUUUCUGACCCCCAAGAACACUCCAACAGGGUUUUUAGGGGCUCGUGCACAAAGCCAACUGCACUUCUGCUAGUGUAAGCUCUCCAGGUUCUAUGGUAUACCCCAAUGGCUAGUGCGGCUCCCCACCAGGUGCCCUCCCCUGGACAUGAACAGGCAUCCAAAGCUGACAUCAUUGAGGAGUGAGGAAGAAAGCCUCUUUCCAGGAGUAGUAUGGUUCCAUGGUCUGGGAUAGGAGUGGUUUCAGAGGGACAUCGGAAUGCAUGGGCUAAAGAUGGAACCAGCACUUUUGUGGACUGAAGCAGUACUAUUGAAAGCCUUCUGUGUGAUCAGAAAAGCACUGCCUUGGCAGAGCAUUGUC
Molecule: long non-coding RNA, 1570 nt
Filed under: Urocitellus parryii (Arctic ground squirrel)
Lineage: Eukaryota; Metazoa; Chordata; Mammalia; Rodentia; Sciuridae
Description: lncRNA (ENSUPAG00010007712.1)
Source: RNAcentral